GUUGGCUCACGUAUCGCCAUUCCCAGCAACUUGUUCUCGGCAUAGCGGAUUUUUUCCGGACCAUCGCGCGCGCAACUCUCGCCCGUGCCUUCGAGCACGAUCGUCAUAUAGAGCCCGGGCUUCAUGGUCCCCUGUGUGCGAAGAUCAUUCGNNNNNNNNNGAUGAAGAAUACAGCCGGGAUUAUCCAGCCAGAUCAUGUUUUGGGAAAACGUGUCUUCGAC
RNAcentral lists this unclassified non-coding RNA (221 nucleotides) under Hevea brasiliensis (rubber tree). Lineage: Eukaryota; Viridiplantae; Streptophyta; Magnoliopsida; Malpighiales; Euphorbiaceae. The record is from RNAcentral.